AUUGAACGCUGGCGGCAUGCUUUAUACAUGCAAGUCGUGCGGCAGCGCGGGGGCAACUCUGGCGGCGAGCGGCGAACGGGUGAGUAAUACAUAGGAACGUAUCCUGAAAUGGGGGAUAGCUCGGCGAAAGCCGGAUUAAUACCGCAUACGCUCCACGGAGGAAAGCAGGGGAUCGCAAGACCUUGCGUUUCUGGAGCGGCCUAUGUCUGAUUAGCUAGUGGCGGGGUAAUAGCCCACCAAGGCGACGAUCAGUAGCUGGUCUGA
This 264-nucleotide ribosomal RNA is filed under the name uncultured bacterium. RNAcentral describes it as "partial 16S ribosomal RNA". It matches the Rfam family "Bacterial small subunit ribosomal RNA", at positions 30 to 295 of the family's 1533-position model. The record is from RNAcentral.